GGGGGCGACCUGGCUUCGACGUGGGUUGCGAAACCUGAGGUGCAUGCCGAGGAUGCAGCUGUCCUCGUAAAACCCGCUGCAAACCAAUAGCUGCCAACGACGACAGCUUCGCCCUGGCCGCGUAAAUAAGGCCAGCCUCCAACCGGGUGUGCUUGUGCGCCCGGAGCCGAGGUCAUCCGACACAAGAUCGCGCUGCGGCACGUCCGGGGCCAACGCGCUAAAACCUUACCGGACUCGCCUUUCCGCCCCCUGCCGGUCGGGAGCGGGAAGGUUAAAGGCAAAGACCCGGCUAAGCAUGUAGAACCGAUGGCGGAGGGCCCACGGACGCGGGUUCAAUUCCCGCCGCCUCCACCA
This 354-nucleotide transfer-messenger RNA is filed under the name Gammaproteobacteria bacterium. It matches the Rfam family "transfer-messenger RNA". Rfam says of the family: Bacterial tmRNA, also known as 10Sa RNA or SsrA, is named for its dual tRNA and mRNA-like properties. Lineage: Bacteria; Pseudomonadati; Pseudomonadota; Gammaproteobacteria. The record is from RNAcentral.